This 1456-nucleotide ribosomal RNA is filed under the name Exilispira thermophila. RNAcentral's name for it is "16S ribosomal RNA". It matches the Rfam family "Bacterial small subunit ribosomal RNA". Lineage: Bacteria; Pseudomonadati; Spirochaetota; Spirochaetia; Spirochaetales. The record is from RNAcentral.
AGUGAACGUUGGCAGUGCGUUUUAAGCAUGCAAGUUGUACGGCAGCAGUAGAUAUAUCUUUCGGGGUAUAUCUAGCUGGCGAGUAGCGGACUGGUGAGUAACGCGUAAGGACCUACCCUGAGGAGGGGGAUAGCCUGUGGAAACACAGGGUAAUACUCCAUAAUCUCGAGAGAGGAAAGCCAUUAUUGGUGCCUUAGGAUGGACUUGCGUCCUAUCAGCUAGUUGGUGAGGUAAAGGCUCACCAAGGCUAAGACGGGUAGCCGGCCUGAGAGGGUGAUCGGCCACACUGGGACUGAGAUACGGCCCAGACUCCUACGGGAGGCAGCAGCUAAGAAUCUUCCGCAAUGGGGGAGACCCUGACGGAGCGACACUGCGUACGGGAUGAAGGCCCUAUGGGUUGUAAACCGUUUUUGCCAGGGGCGAAUAAUCUUUAAGAGAUGACGGUACCUGGCGAAUAAGUCCCGGCUAACUACGUGCCAGCAGCCGCGGUAAUACGUAGGGGGCGAACGUUACUCGGAAUCACUGGGCGUAAAGGGCCUGUAGGCGGCUUUACAAGUCAGCUGUAAAAGACUGAUGCUCAACGUCAGAGUUGCGGCUGAUACUGUAGAGCUAGAGUACGGGAGGGGGUGAUGGAAUUCCCGGUGUAGGGGUGAAAUCUGUAGAUAUCGGGAAGAAUACCGACGGCGAAGGCAAUCACCUGGCCUGAUACUGACGCUGAGAGGCGAAAGCUAGGGGAGCGAACGGGAUUAGAUACCCCGGUAGUCCUAGCUGUAAACGAUGUAUGCUAGUCAUAGGGACCCGAGAGGUUUUUGUGACGCAGCCAACGCGUUAAGCAUACCGCCUGGGGAGUAUGCCCGCAAGGGUGAAACUCAAAGGAAUUGACGGGGGCCGGCACAAGCGGUGGAGCAUGUGGUUUAAUUCGAUGAUACGCGAAGAACCUUACCAGGGCUUGACAUGUGCCUUACAGUUAGGAGAAAUCCUAAUGCCUUUCGGGGGUGGCACACAGGUGCUGCAUGGCUGUCGUCAGCUCGUGUCGUGAGAUGUUGGGUUAAGUCCCGCAACGAGCGCAACCCUUAUUCUUAGUUGCCAUCAGGUUAAGCUGGGCACUCUAAGGAGACUGCCGGUGACAAACCGGAGGAAGGUGGGGAUGACGUCAAGUCAUCAUGGCCCUUAUGUCCUGGGCUACACACGUGCUACAAUGGGCGUUACAGAGGGUAGCGAAGCCGCGAGGUGUAGCGAAUCUCAGAAAGGCGUCCUUAAGUUCGGAUUGCAGUCUGCAACUCGACUGCAUGAAGGUGGAAUCGCUAGUAAUCGCAGAUCAGCAAUGCUGCGGUGAAUACGUUCCCCGGCCUUGUACACACCGCCCGUCACACCACCCGAAUUGGUUUUACCCGAAGAUGCUGGAGCCAACCAGUAAUGGAGGCAGGUGUCUAAGGUAGGGCCAGUGAGGGGGGUG